UACGUAGGGUGCAAGCGUUAAUCGGAAUUACUGGGCGUAAAGCGUGCGCAGGCGGUUAUGUAAGACAGAUGUGAAAUGCCCGGGCUUAACCUGGGAACUGCCUUUGUGACUGCAUGGCUAGAGUUUGGCAGAGGGGGGUAGAAUUCCACGUGUAGCAGUGAAAUGCGUAGAUAUGUGGAGGAACACCGAUGGCGAAGGCAGCCCCCUGGGUCAAGACUGACGCUCAUGCACGAAAGCGUGGGGAGCAAGCAGG
RNAcentral lists this ribosomal RNA (253 nucleotides) under uncultured bacterium. RNAcentral's name for it is "partial 16S ribosomal RNA". It matches the Rfam family "Bacterial small subunit ribosomal RNA", at positions 524 to 776 of the family's 1533-position model. The record is from RNAcentral.